GAUGAACGCUAGCGGCAGGCCUAAUACAUGCAAGCUGAACGGUAAAUGUUGUAGCAAUACAAUAUGAGAGUAGCGUAAGGGUGCGUAACACGUAUGCAAUCUACCCGCAACUGGAGGAUAGCUCCCCGAAAGGGGAAUUAAUACUCCAUAAGAUCACGAGAGGGCAUCUGAUUGUGAUUAAACUCCAAGGGGUUGCGGAUGAGCAUGCGUCUGAUUAGUUAGUUGGUGAGGUAACGGCUCACCAAGACGAUGAUCAGGUAGGGGAACUGAGAGGUUGAUCCCCCACACUGGCACUGAGAUACGGGCCAGACUCCUACGGGAGGCAGCAGUAGGGAAUAUUGGUCAAUGGGUGAGAGCCUGAACCAGCCAUGCCGCGUGC
This 379-nucleotide ribosomal RNA is filed under the name uncultured bacterium. RNAcentral describes it as "bacterial SSU rRNA". It matches the Rfam family "Bacterial small subunit ribosomal RNA", at positions 28 to 404 of the family's 1533-position model. The record is from RNAcentral.